AGGGUUUGAUCCUGGCUCAGGAUGAACGCUAGCUACAGGCUUAACACAUGCAAGUCGAGGGGCAUCGGGAAGAAAGCUUGCUUUCUUUGCUGGCGACCGGCGCACGGGUGAGUAACACGUAUCCAACCUGCCGAUGACUCGGGGAUAGCCUUUCGAAAGAAAGAUUAAUACCCGAUGGUAUAUCUGAAAGGCAUCUUUCAGCUAUUAAAGAAUUUCGGUCAUUGAUGGGGAUGCGUUCCAUUAGGUUGUUGGCGGGGUAACGGCCCACCAAGCCAUCGAUGGAUAGGGGUUCUGAGAGGAAGGUCCCCCACAUUGGAACUGAGACACGGUCCAA
Molecule: ribosomal RNA, 334 nt
Filed under: uncultured bacterium
Lineage: Bacteria
Description: bacterial SSU rRNA
Rfam family: Bacterial small subunit ribosomal RNA
Source: RNAcentral